UCGGGAAUUUUGGGCAAUGGGCGAAAGCCUGACCCAGCAACGCCGCGUGAAGGAUGAAGUAUUUCGGUAUGUAAACUUCGAAAGAAUAGGAAGAAUAAAUGACGGUACUAUUUAUAAGGUCCGGCUAACUACGUGCCAGCAGCCGCGGUAAUACGUAGGGACCAAGCGUUGUUCGGAUUUACUGGGCGUAAAGGGCGCGUAGGCGGCGUGGUAAGUCACUUGUGAAAUCUCCGAGCUUAACUCGGAACGGUCAAGUGAUACUGCUUUGCUAGAGUGCAGAAGGGGCAAUCGGAAUUCUUGGUGUAGCGGUGAAAUGCGUAGAUAUCAAGAGGAACACCUGAGGUGAAGACGGGUUGCUGGGUUGACACUGACGCUGAGGCGCGAAAGCCAGGGGAGCAAACGGGAUUAGAUACCCCCGUAGUCCCUGAGCGGGCUGGCAAGGCGCAU
Molecule: ribosomal RNA, 447 nt
Filed under: uncultured bacterium
Lineage: Bacteria
Description: bacterial SSU rRNA
Rfam family: Bacterial small subunit ribosomal RNA
Source: RNAcentral